UGCUGUCUAAAUCGGGUUGAUGGACAAA
Molecule: non-coding RNA, 28 nt
Filed under: Homo sapiens (human)
Lineage: Eukaryota; Metazoa; Chordata; Mammalia; Primates; Hominidae
Source: RNAcentral